Molecule: ribosomal RNA, 484 nt
Filed under: uncultured bacterium
Lineage: Bacteria
Description: partial 16S ribosomal RNA
Rfam family: Bacterial small subunit ribosomal RNA
Source: RNAcentral
AUUGAACGCUGGCGGCAGGCCUAACACAUGCAAGUCGAGCGGAUGAAGGGAGCUUGCUCCUGGAUUCAGCGGCGGACGGGUGAGUAAUGCCUAGGAAUCUGCCUGGUAGUGGGGGAUAACGUCCGGAAACGGGCGCUAAUACCGCAUACGUCCUGAGGGGGAAAGUGGGGGAUCUUCGGACCUCACGCUAUCAGAUGAGCCUAGGUCGGAUUAGCUAGUUGGUGGGGUAAAGGCCUACCAAGGCGACGAUCCGUAACUGGUCUGAGAGGAUGAUCAGUCACACUGGAACUGAGACACGGUCCAGACUCCUACGGGAGGCAGCAGUGGGGAAUAUUGGACAAUGGGCGAAAGCCUGAUCCAGCCAUGCCGCGUGUGUGAAGAAGGUCUUCGGAUUGUAAAGCACUUUAAGUUGGGAGGAAGGGCAGUAAGUUAAUACCUUGCUGUUUUGACGUUACCAACGGAAUAAGCACCGGCUAACUUCGUG